UCAAACAACAAUAGUCAAGUACAACCCAUAACCCUAGAAUAAUGAGGUUCUUAGCCACUCAUGUUCAUGACAAUAAUUAAUAUGUUAUUUUUAAACAUAAAAUCUAUGAAUACUAGAUGAAAGAUGGAAGAAUUGAUGAAUUUCGUGCUUCAUUUGUGUUUCUAUGCCUUUGCCGCCCUCAAAAUUGACCACCACUAAUCACAUUUAGAGGGUAUUUAUAGGUUAGGGCUGGAAUCCCCAAGUCCAAAAUCAAGUAGAGAAUGUUCAAUGCGCUGAGUGGGAAAGUCUGUAGCAUCUCCUGGAGCUCGCCUCGCCUAGGCUACUGCGCGUUGCAUCUCGCUUGGGACUAGGCGUUGCCUGGCUUGGCGCCUGGUUCUGGGCCUUGUCCAAUUUUUGCCUUUUCGUGCUCUUUUUUAUGUAUCUUUGACAUUCUUGGGUGCAACCUUCAUGCGUUUUCAUCCUUCAACGAUCCUACACAUAAAAAUGACAUAAUUAAGCUCAAACGUCACAUAAUCAAUCAUUAAAACACUAAAAUGUAAGGUGAUCAAUGCACUAAAAAUAUACAUUUAUAGCCAAACAUCAAAAAUCAAUACCCCCAUGCGCAUCGUCAUACCCCAUUGUGCUUGCUCCGAUGUGGUCGUUGAAAAUUUUCUCCUAUGAAUAACUUUUCGGUGUGUGGAAUACUAAGAACGACCUCGUCCAAAUCAUCCCAGAAAUGCCUUUUUACCACCCCAUAGAAGCCCCAUUGAGGUGCGUUUUCACUUACUACAUUACAUGAAAGCCCUCCAAUAACUAGCUUAAUAACCAUAAACCUAUUGCUCACCCUCCCAACCUCUACCACUUUCUCUCUAAGUUCCUCCCUACCAAAAUGCCUACUCCAUUCUUACCCCUCAAGCCUCCCGAGUACCACAACUUAAAUCCGUUUACAUCACGCGCUUUAGUUCCCACCCAUCUAGUUUCCCGGACACAAACAAUGUUGAUCUUCCUCUUUGCGAGAAUCUUCUCUAACUUUAAAAAUUGUUCUGUUAAAGUUCUUAUGUUCCAAGACCCAACUCUCAACCUAGAGGGUCCCUUGCCCCUAUUACCACCCUUGCCCCUGCCCGCUCCCAUCCGCUCCACCUCCCGUCCCACCCAAGAACAUGACCUACUUUACCAUCAUUCACCAAUGCCUCUAUAAACUAUAAACUAUGAUAUACUAAGCUAAACUAUAACAAGUAGCGAAUCUAAAGUAAAUAAAUGAAAGCUGAUACAAAUCAAAUCAACUUAUUAAAUAUAAAGACAGGCAAGCAAACAUGAACAAGAGGAACAUAUAUAACAAAUCAAGAGAGAUAAUAUGCUAGAACUAAGAGUGGCUAAUUAAACUAACACAAGGAAGAGGAGUGUCAUGCCCCAAAACCUUGGUGAGGCGGACCGGCAAUCGGUGCCUUAACUUGAUCAAGUGAACCCUGCUCUAUGAAUCUGAAAAAAUUAUGAAAACAUCUGAAAGGAAAACAUAUAAUAUGUGAUUUUCAUUAAAAAAUUUCUGAUAAUAAAACCGCGAAAUCUUUUUCCUUUAAAACACAAGCUUUGCAAAAGCUAAGUAAAGCUGAGCCCAAAAUAUAACUGAGGACAUAGCAUGGGUGACUUUUGUUUAUGAAAACUCUAAGAUCAUCUAUAACUAUAAAAAUGGUGGGACAGGGCCUGACCUACCCAGACAAUUGUACACCAAAAAGGAACUAGACUCGGCCUCAGAUAACAAUCUGCAGUUGACUAUAGAAAUUGAUAUCUAGCUGGAGGGUCUGCUGCUCCGAACGGCUUGAGUCUCAACCUUUAGCUCGACUACAAAGAAUCGAUCCGUCUGUUAUAAGCUUCAAUCUUGGCUGCCGAACCCUAUAACUUUCUUCACUUCAUUCUCCCGGAAGAGCCCUUUCGAUUUGCUUGAAGAUAUUUGAUGAUAGAAAGAAAAACUUGAGAGGGAAGCUUAGUUC
RNAcentral lists this long non-coding RNA (1967 nucleotides) under Nicotiana tabacum (common tobacco). RNAcentral describes it as "long non-coding RNA (NTAB_LNC019417)". Lineage: Eukaryota; Viridiplantae; Streptophyta; Magnoliopsida; Solanales; Solanaceae. The record is from RNAcentral.